GUUUGUUUGAAGGUAUAAAGAAUUUAACCUGCCCCCUGAUGUUAAAGGGCCGCGGUAUUAUAACCGUGCAAAGGUAGCAUAAUCAUUAGGUUUUUAAUUGGAAUCUUGUAUGAAUGGUUGGACAAAAGAAUAACUCUCUUUAUAUUAAACUUUAAAUUUAACUUUUAAGUGAAAAGGCUUAAAUAUGCUAAAGGGACGAUAAGACCCUAUAAAACUUUUACAUUGAUAUUAUAUUUUAGUAAAUUUUAAAAAUUAAAUUUGAUUAUUUGUUGUGUUGGGGAGAUAUAGGCAAAUAACUGCUUAAUAAUUAAACAAUUAUAGGUGAGUAAAAGAUCCUUUUUAGAGAUUAAUAAUUUAAGUUACUUUAGGGAUAACAGCGUUAUUUUUUUUGAGAGUUCUUAUCGAAAAAGAAGAUUGCGACCUCGAUGUUGAAUUAAAAUAUCUAUAUAAUGAAGGGAUUAUAUAAGAGGGUCUGUUCGACCUUUAAAAUUUU
Molecule: ribosomal RNA, 493 nt
Filed under: Luteomon spinapodum
Lineage: Eukaryota; Metazoa; Arthropoda; Malacostraca; Decapoda; Potamidae
Description: partial 16S ribosomal RNA
Rfam family: Bacterial large subunit ribosomal RNA
Source: RNAcentral